UACGUAGGCAGCGAGCGUUGUUCGGAAUUACUGGGCGUAAAGAGUGUGUAGGCGGUGCUCCCAGUCUGUUGUGAAAUCUCCCGGCUUAACUGGGAGGGUGCAGCGGAAACUAGAGUGCUAGAGGGUGGGAGAGGUAAGCGGAAUUCCUGGUGUAGCGGUGAAAUGCGUAGAUAUCAGGAGGAACACCGGUGGUGUAAACGGCUUUCUGGACCAUAACUGACGCUGAGGCGCGAAAGCGUGGGUAGCAAACAGG
RNAcentral lists this ribosomal RNA (253 nucleotides) under uncultured bacterium. RNAcentral describes it as "partial 16S ribosomal RNA". It matches the Rfam family "Bacterial small subunit ribosomal RNA", at positions 524 to 776 of the family's 1533-position model. The record is from RNAcentral.